Molecule: long non-coding RNA, 609 nt
Filed under: Gallus gallus (chicken)
Lineage: Eukaryota; Metazoa; Chordata; Aves; Galliformes; Phasianidae
Description: lncRNA (ENSGALG00010000430.1)
Source: RNAcentral
UGUUGUGUAGUUGUUGUGUUGUGUAGUUGUUGUGUUGUGUCAUUGUGUAGUUGUGUCAUUGUGUAGUUGCUGUGCAGUUUUGUUGUGUCGUUGUGGUGUAGUUGUGGUGUAGUUGUGUUGUGGAGUUGUGCAGUUGUUGUGUUGUUGUGUCGUUGUGUCAUUGUGUAGUUGUGUUGUGUCAUUCUGUAGUUGCUGUGUAGUUGUUGUGUAGUUGUGUUGUGUCGUUGUGGUGUAGUUGUGGUGUAGUUGUGUUGUGGAGUUGUGCAGUUGUUGUGUUGUUGUGUAGUUGUGUAGUUGUGUUGUGUUGUUGUGUAGUUGUUGUGUUGUGUAGUUGUUGUGUUGUGUCACUGUGUAGUUGUGGUGUUGUGUCAUUGUGCUGUUGCUGUGUUGUUGUGUAGUUGUGUUGUAGUGUUGUUGUGUAGUUGUGUUGUUGUUGUGUUGUACAGUUGUUGUGUUGUGUAGUUGUUGUGUAGUUGUGUUGUAGUGUUGUAGUGUAGUUGUGUUGUUAUUGUGUUGUGUAGUUGUGUAGUUGUUGUGUAGUUGUGUUGUGCAGUUGUAGUGUUGUUGUGCAGUUGUGUUGUUGUGCAGUUGUUGUGUUGUUGUGUUGUU